Molecule: ribosomal RNA, 449 nt
Filed under: uncultured bacterium
Lineage: Bacteria
Description: partial 16S ribosomal RNA
Rfam family: Bacterial small subunit ribosomal RNA
Source: RNAcentral
AACGAACGCUGGCGGCAUGCCUAACACAUGCAAGUCGAACGAGAUCUUCGGGUCUAGUGGCGCACGGGUGCGUAACGCGUGGGAAUCUGCCCUUUGGUUCGGAAUAACAGGUGGAAACGACUGCUAAUACCGGAUGAUGACGAAAGUCUAAAGAUUUAUCGCCAGAGGAUGAGCCCGCGUAGGAUUAGCUAGUUGGUGUGGUAAAGGCGCACCAAGGCGACGGUCCUUAGCUGGUCUGAGAGGAUGAUCAGCCACACUGGGACUGAGACACGGCCCAGACUCCUACGGGAGGCAGCAGUGGGGAAUAUUGGACAAUGGGCGAAAGCCUGAUCCAGCAAUGCCGCGUGAGUGAUGAAGGCCUUAGGGUUGUAAAGCUCUUUUACCCGGGAUGAUAAUGACAGUACCGGGAGAAUAAGCUCCGGCUAACUCCGUGCCAGCCGCCGCCGUAA